CGGACAUCAAUUUUUUUUAUGUAGUUUUAAUUUUUAUAAUGUUUUGUACAAAUAUAUGAUAAUAAUUUGUUAGAUUUUGAAACUUUUUUCAACUAACGAAACUUGUUUACAUUGCGAAAUCAAUGUAAUUUGAUACCUCAGUCAUACGAUGUCUAUGAAUUACUACCGACCAUCCCCUGGUGAUAGUUUUUCGACGUAUUUCAAUAUAUUGCCUUUAUUUUAUAAGAAUCUUUUCAAAUAUUCAAAAUUUUUAAUUUAUAAUUCUAAUUAUUCAAAAUUUUGUAUUAGUUUAGGUUUAUUUAUUGUUUAUAUGAAAAUUUAUUUGUUUUUUUAUAUAAUUUAUCUGCGUUUGUAGUUUUGCCCUCUGUCUGCAGGAUCUCAUACUAAUUUUCGACUAAUACUGCAAUUUUUCGUCGAAUUUUUAUGCGUUUAGCCGGGAAUCUGUUAUUAAUUCCUUUUAAAAAUGGCGGAACAACGAAUUAUUAUUCGUUAUUUAUCUAAUAUAAAUGGAAUUUUUAAUUAUUUCGUUUUAUUUUAUAAAGAAAAUACUUCAUACUAUAGCUGUACCCUAUUUUCCAAAAUGGG
Molecule: long non-coding RNA, 585 nt
Filed under: Androctonus crassicauda
Lineage: Eukaryota; Metazoa; Arthropoda; Arachnida; Scorpiones; Buthidae
Source: RNAcentral